UUGCACGCUGGCGGCAGGCCUAACCCAUGCAAGUCGCGCGGAUGAAGGGAGCUUGCUCCUGGAUUCAGCGGCGGACGGGUGAGUAAUGCCUAGGAAUCUGCCUGGUAGUGGGGGAUAACGUCCGGAAACGGGCGCUAAUACUGCAUACGUCCUGAGGGAGAAAGUGGGGGAUCUUCGGACCUCACGCUAUCAGAUGAGCCUAGGUCGGAUUAGCUAGUUGGUGGGGUAAAGGCCUACCAAGGCGACGAUCCGUAACUGGUCUGAGAGGAUGAUCAGUCACACUGGAACUGAGACACGGUCCAGACUCCUACGGGAGGCAGCAGUGGGGAAUAUUGGACAAUGGGCGAAAGCCUGAUCCAGCCAUGCCGCGUGUGUGAAGAAGGUCUUCGGAUUGUAAAGCACUUUAAGUUGGGAGGAAGGGCAGUAAGUUAAUACCUUGCUGUUUUGACGUUACCAACAGAAUAAGCACCGGCUAACUUCGU
Molecule: ribosomal RNA, 482 nt
Filed under: uncultured bacterium
Lineage: Bacteria
Description: partial 16S ribosomal RNA
Rfam family: Bacterial small subunit ribosomal RNA
Source: RNAcentral